Molecule: small RNA, 205 nt
Filed under: Staphylococcus aureus
Lineage: Bacteria; Bacillati; Bacillota; Bacilli; Caryophanales; Staphylococcaceae
Description: Transcript
Source: RNAcentral
UGAUUAUGAUGUUAACAAUAAGGAAGAUGCUGAUAAAGUUGAAGCAUUCUAUGAGAAAAUUAAAGGUCAUUCUUCAAUUGAAAUAGAAUUACCGUUUGCUGACCAAUUCUGGGGUGGCAAAAUGGGCGUCUUUACCGAUAAAUACGGUGUUCGUUGGAUGUUACAUGGUCAAGACUAUACUGCAAUCCAACAAUAAUGUUAUUGA